This 289-nucleotide RNase P RNA is filed under the name chicken gut metagenome. RNAcentral's name for it is "Bacterial RNase P class A". It matches the Rfam family "Bacterial RNase P class A", at positions 35 to 352 of the family's 367-position model. Rfam says of the family: Ribonuclease P (RNase P) is a ubiquitous endoribonuclease, found in archaea, bacteria and eukarya as well as chloroplasts and mitochondria. Its best characterised activity is the generation of mature 5'-ends of tRNAs by cleaving the 5'-leader elements of precursor-tRNAs. The record is from RNAcentral.
GGGAAACCGAGGAAAGUCCGGGCUCCACAGGACGAUGGUGCUGGCUAACGGCCAGGAGCAGUAAUGCUACGGAAAGUGCAGCAGAGAACAGACCGCCUACGGGUAAGGGUGAAACGGCAGUGUAAGAGACUACCGCCUGGACAGUGAUGGACAGGGCUAGGUAAACCCCACCAGGAGCAAGGCCAAGAAGUGAUAAGCUGGUCCGGCAUUGAUCACGGGUAGGCUGCUUGAGCGGAUGGGUAACCAUCCGCCUAGAUAGAUGAUUACCUAAACAGAACCCGGCUUAUCC